AAUAAGCAAUCGUUCAAAUCUAGCACAGACUCUGUUUGUUCCUGGGAAAUUUUGGAAAACCCUAAGUAGCGAUAUUAGUAUGUCGUAAUUUCAACACAAACAUCGCAUUACAAUUACCAUAAUUGCAUUGACACAUUUCCUCGAGCAUCUGGUGAGCACGAAAACGUUUUGCUUAUGAAUGCAGAUAAUAGAUCAAGUGAGCAAGUGAGCAACACCAAGCAACAAUCAUCAACUCGCACCAACAGUGCUCUUUCUUGAAAACGUGGAGGGCCUGCACUGAGGCCGUAUAUCUGUUUCUGCAAUAUCUGCUUCAUAGCUAGCAAACAUAGAAGGAGCCACAAUUCCCCUCAAAAUCUAUAUCUAUUUAUAUCUAUAUCUAUAUCUAUAUCUAUACUUAUAUAUAAAGCAGAGGCUCUAACAACCUCUGUUAUUAUUUCGACACCUGGAUCUCUAAAAUUCCCCAUUUGUGCCUACCUGGACACUCCACUCUUUCUUAUCCCUAUUUCUCUCCUCUCCAUUCAGGAAUUCUUCCAAAAAAAAAAACAAAAAGCGCACGACGCCCUUCCCCUUCUCUUUUAAACGCUUUUCUUCUCAUUAAUGCAUCGGGAUUGAACGACGGUUCAUAUUGGGAUUGACGACUCAGGCGCACAACGGUUCUCCUAUCUGCCUCUAGAUUUCCAUGCUUUUAAACGCUUUUCUUCUCAUUCAUGCAUCGGGGAUUGAAUGACGGUUCGUAUCGGGAUUGACGACUCAAGCGCAUGACGAUUCUCCUAUCCGCCUUUGGAUUUCCAUUUUUAAAUCACGGUAGGAGCUCCGUUGAGCUGAACGUUGUCGGGAUUUCUCAAUUCCGCUCUCGGAUGACAUAACCUGAUUAACACACCGAAUCUGGCUGAACAUGAGGGUGGUUUGUAAAGGUAGGUGGACUAUUUGGCGAAAAGAGGGAACUGUUUCUACUGCCCAAAGAUUUUUAACAGUUACUCGGCUCACUCAAGUGAUUGAAUGGUCAAAGAGGUUCUGACUGCAGAUCAAUCCUCCUUCCGAACGGGUUCCCAGCGAUUGCCUUUUGGGUUCUCAAGAUGAUACUCAUGUUAUUCGGGUCUAACACCAUUUAAUGGAGCCGUUCUAGCUGAUGCUCACUGGGGAAGAUUUAGGACAACAACUUUUGUAGUCUUAUAUAUCUUGGGAGUGUGCUGGUGGAUGCAAUAGCCGUGAGAGAGUCAGACGUCACAAAUGGGGCCAAACUCAUGCGCAUUGCCACUCAAGGUUGCAUCAACGGGCACACUACGACUCUUCCCCUUCUGCUUUUAAAUGCUUUUCUUCUCAUUCUUGCAUCGGGAUGGAACGACAGUUCAUAUCUAUUGACACUUCUCCAAGAAAAGGUUCUAUGAUCUCUCUCUUCAUUCUUCCCUUUGAGGUAAUUCUAUUUUUAAAUUUUGUUUUUCUUGCAUUCACUGAUUUCAGUUUUAAGCAAAUUAAGUCACAUUUCAGUUUUAAAUUUUUAAGAAGCUCAUAACAGAAUGAUUUGGUGUUUCAAUUUCUUUUCAAGCUGAACAUUUGAGCUUAUAAAGUGUAUCUUGAAAAUAUUAUGUUUAUUCUUGAAUUCAUUAUACUUUUGGGAUGUGUUUGAUGUUCUUUGAGUAGAUAUUGAACAAAAUAGCAGCUUGAGGCUAUGGAAAAGGAAUUACAUGUUUCUGAUAUCAGGACUAGGGAUAUUGUGGACAUUAAAUUGGUGAUUACUUUACUCUCUUUCUUAAAUCUACCUAUUGAAGGAAAUCAUCUUGAGUUGGUUUGUUUGGUUGACUCACAGUUGUCUACAAAGGUAUUGUUAUGUCUAGACAAAAUGCCGGCGUCAACAACACCAUUUGGAUUCAAAGAAUUUUGCUGGCGAAAUUGUCUUCCCUCUACCAAUAUUUCCCUCCCAUCAUUUCUGAGGGGUAGUAAAUAAACUAUCCUCAUUGGAUUGAUCUGCUCAAGUUUUCUUUCAAUUAUGCAUUUAAUUCACUUUGUAGGACUAUGCUCUGAGUAUGGUCUCAAAACCUAUUUUGCUGAGCUAGACUGGCAAGGAAUAUUUACCAAGAAGCUCCAUGGAGGUUAUCCAAAAAAACAGUUGCAUCUAUUAUUAGGAAAUAAGCUGACCAAGCUGUAUCUAUUAUUUAGGAAACAAGUUGCUUAUGUAGGUGUUUUUUUUCUUCAUUCAUUUGGAGAUGCAAAUUCUUUCUAAUUAUGAAGGUCGU
This is an RNA transcript of Tripterygium wilfordii, 2234 nucleotides long. RefSeq lists it as uncharacterized. The record is from RefSeq and is a predicted model, not a curated record. The transcript has 6 exons. Lineage: Eukaryota; Viridiplantae; Streptophyta; Magnoliopsida; Celastrales; Celastraceae.